GACCUUAAACAUAUUAAAAUUGCCAUAUAUCUGUUACUCAUAACUUCAAUUAUCAUGACAAGAAAGAUAUAUUCAAUAACUUGUUCUCAAUUCUAAGUUUGAUAGAAAAUGUCCUAGGAAUUAAGCUAAAAUAAAAUAUUCUAGAGAAAUGGAUUUUUGGAUUUGUACCAUACCUUGAAGGAAUAAGGUGUGGCACAUUUCUUAUUCAUACUACCAAAAUAAUAAUCACAGAUUACAAACAUAAUUAUCCUUUUGUCUCUUCUCUAACCUCACCAACCAGCCUCUAGAUUUUUCUGAAGAUAGUUUGGAUAGGUCUAAAACUAACUUAAAAAAUCCUCACAAAAAUAGAAGUAAUGUAUUAGUAGCACAAUUCUAAUAAAACUUUAUGCUAAAUUCUUCAUUCUCUCUUUUCAUUUCUAAACUAAUUAUUCAUUGUUCCAAUGUAUUAUUACUAGUUCUUUGCCAUCCAAUAGUUAUAUAUAUCCAUUAUGCCCAGAGAAUUAAUUGCAUGGACUUUCCUGCUAGAUAAUGAUAAUUAUACUUGCAAUUAAAAUUACAUUUGUUUCUGAUUUUAUGUAUUAUUUUUACACGUUGAUAUAUGUUCUUUUAUUGAAAAAAUGUUACACUAUCUAUUUUAUGUGUGGACAAUGCACAUAAUACUUUAAAAAAAAAAAAAAAAUAAGGAAAGUUAAAGGUCAUACCAGUAUUGUUUUUCCAUAAAAAUAUGCAUGUUUAAUUAGUGCUAACUUCAAAAGAAGUUAGUGUAUCAUAAAAAAGAAUCAAAGUGUUAAUUAGUAUUACAAUUCUAAUAAAGUUUUAUGUUAAAUUCUUUAAUUGCUUUUACAAUGUUUUUUAAGUUGAAUCACUCAUUGGCCAAUAAUGGUGUGUUAUUUCUGUUCAAAUGAGUGCCAACAGUAACAUACGGUGAAUUUAAUAUAAUACUGUAAGAAAACAACUGCAGUAUAUAUAUUCGGGUAAGGACACGAUUUAUAACAUUCAUGGAUAUGUCACCUACAUAUUUACAUCCCUUUUUCUUAAAGUUAGCAUUACUUAAACACACUCGUAAUUAUAGUUAUACCUCCCCUAUUUUUACACUACUCCCUAUGUACUAUAUAAUAGUAUUUUUUAAGGAAAAUUUGUUAAUUUUUAUGUCAUUUUUAAAAUUUCAAGAUAGCAUAUUUUUUCCAAUUCUAUUUUUAAGGAAAAUUACCCUUAUUUUUUGUUUUAUUAUGCAUUGAAAAUUGUUUGGAGAGAAAAAACUGAAAGGGGUAUAUUAGGUAAAUCACUUAACAAUUGCACUAAAAAUCAAAUAAUUAAAUGUUUUUCUUGGUUUGGGUGAAAGAACCGUAAAAUACUAGUAUAUAGCAACCGAGAGAGUGUGUGUGUAUAUAUAUAUAUAUAUAUAUAUAUAUAUAUAUAUAUAUUAAAUUCUACUAUUUUUAAUAUUCUUUUUCUAAUAAAAAAAUAUUAUAACAGUGUACUAAAAAGUCGGAUAGUUUUUUUUCUUGAAAAGGGAGGUAGUAUGUACUAAAUAUACUCUCAACAUGUGUUAUUAAGGUUAGUGUAAUUAUCCUUAAAAAAAAGGGAUGCAUGUGUUAUUAAGGUUAGUGUAAUUAUCCUUAAAAAACAGAAUGAAUGUGAUAUGCAUGUAGAUUAUUAUUCCUUUUAUGAUUUUAGUUUAUAAGUAAGUUGGUUUAUGGUUGAAGAGUGAAGAUGUGGGACGUGCAUGGAGGUUUGAGUAGAUGAAAAGGUUCAAAAUGAGUGAUUUUGUUAUCGAACUGGAAGGAAUUUGGUCGCAGAAGCUGACAAUGGCAAUAAGAAAGAUGUGAUGUGAUGUGAUGUGCAGGUUGGGUAGUGAAAUAUGAAUUGGGAUCUUAAAGGCAGUUAGUUUUGGUUUUGGCACAAAAGUGAUUAAGCUACUACUAUGCUACACAUGGUGUUUGUUGCGUUUACCACAAUAAAAAGUUACACUUGGCACGGACUCACCGAUGCCAGAGAGAAAGGGAACCAAGGACAAGGAGAGAACAAAAAAGGAGACAAACAGUGGAAACGCUAUUCACGCCAAUCCAUGCACCAGUAAGACAAAAAAAAAACAGAUAGCAUCCCAUAAAACUAUGCUCUCUGCCCAACUUGUUUAUGCUUACCAAGAAAGCAAACGGCUCCUGGUAUUGCACAAUGCACUCAUUCAACACAUCAAUUCAUGACCACUCUUUCAAAUUCAUUAAAUAAAUAAACCAAACACUCUCUCUCUCUCUCCCACACACACACACCACACACCACACACAUUAUUAAAUAUCCUCAAAGGUUUACCAAUGCCAAAGCAUAAACAUAUCAACGGGUAAGAAAAAAAAAUGACAGCUAAGUAACUGCUCCUCCUCUGUCAUAUAAUAAGUAUUAUUUAAGACUAAAAUAAAGUCUUGCUGUUGUUUUAUUUUAAAAUUAAUAUCAAUUGCAUUUUAUUUAUGCUUUUC
RNAcentral lists this long non-coding RNA (2471 nucleotides) under Phaseolus vulgaris (common bean). RNAcentral's name for it is "long non-coding RNA (PVUL_LNC002760)". Lineage: Eukaryota; Viridiplantae; Streptophyta; Magnoliopsida; Fabales; Fabaceae. The record is from RNAcentral.